AGAACAGACUGGUCCUACCCCAGAACAGACUGGUCCUACCCCAGAACAGACUGGUCCAGAACAGACUGGUCCUACCCCAGAACAGACUGGUCCAGAACAGACUGGUCCUACCCCAGAACAGACUGGUCCUAUCCCAGAACGGACAGAGAUGUCAGUUACUGGGUCUACCACAGAACAACAGACAGAACCACAUACAGCACCACAGACAGAACCACAGACAGAACCACAUACAGAACCACGGACAGAGAUGUCAGUUACUGGGUCUACCACAGAACCACAGACAGAACCACAGACAGAACCACAGACAGAACCACAGACAGAUCAACAUACAGAACCACGGACAGAGAUGUCAGUUACUGGGUCCACCACGGAACCACAGACAGAACCACAGACAGGCUGGUUGGCUGCUCUCAGAUCCCUCUCUCAGUCCGACCAACAGAACACAGUACAGAGAACUCCAGAACCCAGACCCUUCCAGCGUCUGGAGCCUUUGGAGUCUCCUGUAGCAGAGUUUCAUACCCUCUCUGAAGAGACAGCCACCCCUCUGGGCCAGAGAGAAGACACACUAGCGAAGGAAGAGGAGCUACCAGGACAGGAGAAGACCAUUCCUCUACCAGGACAGGAGCUACCAGGACAGGAGAAGACCAUUCCUCUACCAGGACAGGAGAAGACCAUUCCUCUACCAGGACAGGAGCUACCAGGACAGGAGAAGACCAUUCCUCUACCAGGACAGGAGCUACCAGGACAGGAGAAGAC
Oncorhynchus tshawytscha (Chinook salmon) is the source of this 756-nucleotide long non-coding RNA. NCBI's taxonomy places the organism in Eukaryota, Metazoa, Chordata, Actinopteri, Salmoniformes, Salmonidae. The record is from Ensembl.